Molecule: ribosomal RNA, 440 nt
Filed under: uncultured bacterium
Lineage: Bacteria
Description: partial 16S ribosomal RNA
Rfam family: Bacterial small subunit ribosomal RNA
Source: RNAcentral
CCUACGGGAGGCAGCAGUGGGGAAUAUUGCACAAUGGGGGAAACCCUGAUGCAGCGAAGCCGCGUGAGUGAAGAAGGAUUUCGGGAUGGAAAGCUCUAUCAGCAGGGAAGAUAAGGAAGGUACCUGACUAAGAAGCCCCGGCUAACUACGUGCCAGCAGCCGCGGUAAUACGUAGGGGGCAAGCGUUAUCCGGAUUUACUGGGUGUAAAGGGUGCGUAGGUGGCAGGGAAAGUCAGAUGUGAAAGCCCGCGGUUCAACCCCGGUACUGCAGUUGAAACUGUCCAGCUGGAGUGCAGGAGAGGUAAGCGGAAUUCCUAGUGUAGCGGUGAAAUGCGUAGAUAUUAGGAGGAACACCAGUGGCGAAGGCAGCUUACUAGACUGUCACUGACACUGAGGCACGAAAGCGUGGGGAGCAAACAGGAUUAGAUACCCUAGUAGUC